CAAGGCUCGUUAAGACUAGAUGGGGUAUCCCUACAUGGCGGGUGGGACCCAGGGCGAACGGUUCAUCAAGACUUAAAAAAAGAAUAUAUACGAUUGCAUUGCAUAUACUAACGGAUGCGAUCAUACCAGCACUAAUGCACCGGAUCCCAUCAGAACUCCGCAGGUAAGCGUGAUUGGGUGAGAGUAGUAACUAGGAUGGGUGACCUCCCGGGAAGUCCUCGUGUUGCAUCCUUCUUUUUUUUUUUUUUUUUUUUGGUUAAAACUUUAUGACUCCAUAACUUCUACACCG
RNAcentral lists this ribosomal RNA (289 nucleotides) under Arabidopsis thaliana (thale cress). The record is from RNAcentral. Lineage: Eukaryota; Viridiplantae; Streptophyta; Magnoliopsida; Brassicales; Brassicaceae.